GACGAACGCUGGCGGCAUGCCUAAUACAUGCAAGUCGAGCGGAAUGACGAGAGCUUGCUCUCUGAUUUUAGCGGCGGACGGGUGAGUAACACGUGGGCAACCUGCCCUACAGAUGGGGAUAACUCCGGGAAACCGGGGCUAAUACCGAAUAAUCAGUUUGUCCGCAUGGACAAACUCUGAAAGACGGUUUCGGCUGUCACUGUAGGAUGGGCCCGCGGCGCAUUAGCUAGUUGGUGAGGUAACGGCUCACCAAGGCGACGAUGCGUAGCCGACCUGAGAGGGUGAUCGGCCACACUGGGACUGAGACACGGCCCAG
This 316-nucleotide ribosomal RNA is filed under the name uncultured bacterium. RNAcentral's name for it is "bacterial SSU rRNA". It matches the Rfam family "Bacterial small subunit ribosomal RNA", at positions 28 to 334 of the family's 1533-position model. The record is from RNAcentral.